This 77-nucleotide transfer RNA is filed under the name Candidatus Lloydbacteria bacterium CG22_combo_CG10-13_8_21_14_all_47_15. RNAcentral's name for it is "tRNA-Ala". It matches the Rfam family "tRNA". From Rfam's summary of the family: Transfer RNA (tRNA) molecules are approximately 80 nucleotides in length. The record is from RNAcentral. Lineage: Bacteria; Candidatus Lloydiibacteriota.
GGGCCCGUAGCUCAGUUGGCUAGAGCACCGGUUUUGCACUCCGGAGGUCGCUGGUUCGAACCCAGUCGGGUCCACAA